UAAGCAAGAGAUUCAUUGAAGCUCAGCAUGGCUCAGACCAGCUCAUACUUCAUGCUGAUCUCCUGCCUGAUGUUCCUGUCUCAGAGCCAAGGCCAAGAGGCCGAGACAGAGUUGCCCCAGGCCCGGAUCAGCUGCCCAGAAGGCACCAAUGCCUAUGGCUCCUACUGCUACUACUUUAAUGAAGACCGUGAGACCUGGGUUGAUGCAGAUCUCUAUUGCCAAAACAUGAAUUCAGGCAACCUGGUGUCUGUGCUCACCCAGGCCGAGGGUGCCUUUGUGGCCUCACUGAUUAAGGAGAGUGGCACUGGUGACUUCAAUGUCUGGAUUGGCCUCCAUGACCCCAAAAAGAACCGUCGCUGGCACUGGAGCAGUGGGUCCCUGGUCUCCUACAAGUCCUGGGGCAUUGGAGCCCCAAGCAGUGUUAAUCCUGGCUACUGUGUGAGCCUGACCUCAAGCUCAGGUGAGAGGCAGAGAAUCCAUCCACCUGUUUCUGUUCUCUCCUGCUUAGCUCCAGGGAUGGAACUGGGACUGGGACAGAGGAAAGGUGAACUCCUCAUUAAGGAAAUGGAUGUUUGGUUUUUGUCCUGAGUCCUAAAGCC
RNAcentral lists this small RNA (599 nucleotides) under Pongo abelii (Sumatran orangutan). Its description in RNAcentral is "retained intron". The record is from RNAcentral. Lineage: Eukaryota; Metazoa; Chordata; Mammalia; Primates; Hominidae.